GCGAUAGAUCAAUAUCUCUUGACUGGAUAUUCUUGCAGGAAGUGAGAGGAUACACAAAGAGAUACAGAUUCCGUACGGUGUGACCUACGAGUUUCUUAGUGGUUCUGUUACGUGUGUUAAUUGUACUUUCGUUUUAAAUCAGACGGUACAUGCACUGCCUCUCGAAACUGUGCUCUGGAACAUAACCCGUUAAAGAAAUAUCAUAAUAGUGAUGCUGGGUCUGGAACGCUGUCGACCCUGAAAAUCCUAAAAAUCAUUUCCGAUACUUAAUUUUUUUUUAAUGACAAACAAUUACAGGGCCAGUAUUAAUUUGAAAGACCAUGAAUGCAAUUGUAAGUGUAAGCAAGAGUAAGUUUCUCACGGAUCAUUGCUUUAUGAAGGACAGCCACAUCCUCUGGCAGGCUGAACCCUAAUACUAAAAUUAAAAGGAAAAGGAGAUAAAUGGGGGAUGGAACACCCUGUUUUAUCGUCAACAUCGCUGUAGAAAGGCCUUGAUACUCCAUGCCAUAACAAAUUCUCCUAGCAAGGAAUUGAACUUCUGUAUCCUGCGUGCGACAGCGAAGCACAACUGCUGUACCACAGACACCGGUAACAGAAGUUUGAGUCUGAGUUUAGGGAAAGUAUAUUACAUGUACACUGGCACGUCUUUUAAAUCGAGAGGUUCGUCGUUCUGGACAGUUUGACAAGUUGCCAUCGGGAUGAAGGUGUUCUGACAGCAUUUUAUAUAUGUAGUCCUAUAGUAUCGAAUUGGGACCCCGAUCGUCGGCCGCUGGCCACCCAAAAUGCGCUAGCGGACAAGAGAAUUUCUCGCAAAAGUUACAGACGUACGUGUAGCUAGCUACACCGCACAAAGACAUGAAUCUCUGAGCAGACACUGAAAAAUACCACAAAAUAAUGAUACGUCAACACUGGACUGCACCCAGCAUGCAAAAGUGCGUGGUGACAUCUGUGGGAAUCGAAAGGUGAGUACAAGGAGCCACCUGGUCAGAUAGAGUAUAAAGAGGAAGGACUCGUGACUCACACACCAGAGAAUGCCGUCGUAUGGAUUUCACAACUCGUCAACUGCAAACAGCACGCGUCUACCAGAUCGAUGACGGCCUGACUCACACAGAUUUCCCCUCUCGGUCAUGGGUUGGGGAAAAAACGAUCUCAUGUAUUGACCGAAGUGCAAAAAUUCUUUCAUUGUGAGUCUGCUGUUGAGUAUGGGUUUUUUUUUUCGCUGCCGUCUGGCUGAUAUAUUAUUUUUAAUAAUAAUGUUACGGCAAGAAUGUGGCUUA
Molecule: long non-coding RNA, 1277 nt
Organism: Aplysia californica (California sea hare)
Lineage: Eukaryota; Metazoa; Mollusca; Gastropoda; Aplysiida; Aplysiidae
Exons: 2
Source: RefSeq, a predicted model, not a curated record